RNAcentral lists this ribosomal RNA (468 nucleotides) under uncultured bacterium. RNAcentral describes it as "partial 16S ribosomal RNA". It matches the Rfam family "Bacterial small subunit ribosomal RNA", at positions 28 to 507 of the family's 1533-position model. The record is from RNAcentral.
GACGAACGCUGGCGGCGUGCUUAACACAUGCAAGUCGAACGGAAAGGCCCUGCUUUUGUGGGGUGCUCGAGUGGCGAACGGGUGAGUAACACGUGAGUAACCUGCCCUUGACUUUGGGAUAACUUCAGGAAACUGGGGCUAAUACCGGAUAGGAGCUCCUGCUGCAUGGUGGGGGUUGGAAAGUUUCGGCGGUUGGGGAUGGACUCGCGGCUUAUCAGCUUGUUGGUGGGGUAGUGGCUUACCAAGGCUUUGACGGGUAGCCGGCCUGAGAGGGUGACCGGCCACAUUGGGACUGGGAUACGGCCCAGACUCCUACGGGAGGCAGCAGUGGGGAAUAUUGCACAAUGGGCGGAAGCCUGAUGCAGCAACGCCGCGUGCGGGAUGACGGUCUUCGGGUUGUAAACCGCUUUCGCCUGUGACGAAGCGUGAGUGACGGUAAUGGGUAAAGAAGCACCGGCUAACUACGUG